RNAcentral lists this ribosomal RNA (498 nucleotides) under uncultured bacterium. RNAcentral's name for it is "partial 16S ribosomal RNA". It matches the Rfam family "Bacterial small subunit ribosomal RNA", at positions 29 to 523 of the family's 1533-position model. The record is from RNAcentral.
AUUGAACGCUGGCGGCAUGCCUUACACAUGCAAGUCGAACGGUAACGCGGGGCAACCUGGCGACGAGUGGCGAACGGGUGAGUAAUGUAUCGGAACGUGCCCAGUUGUGGGGGAUAACUGGUUGAAAGAGCAGCUAAUACCGCAUACGAACUGAGGGUGAAAGCGGGGGAUCGGAAGACCUCGCGCAAUUGGAGCGGCCGAUAGCAGAGUAGGUAGUUGGUGGGGUAAAGGCUCACCAAGCCGACGAUCUGUAGCUGGGCUGAGAGGACGACCAGCCACACUGGGACUGAGACACGGCCCAGACUCCUACGGGAGGCAGCAGUGGGGAAUUUUGGACAAUGGACGCAAGGCUGAUCCAGCCAUGCCGCGUGCGGGAAGAAGGCCUUCGGGUUGUAAACCGCUUUUGUCAGGGAAGAAAAGGCUCCUUCUAAUAUAGGGGGCUCAUGACGGUACCUGAAGAAUAAGCACCGGCUAACUACGUGCCAGCCGCCGCGGUAA